Molecule: long non-coding RNA, 1431 nt
Filed under: Piliocolobus tephrosceles (Ugandan red Colobus)
Lineage: Eukaryota; Metazoa; Chordata; Mammalia; Primates; Cercopithecidae
Description: lncRNA (ENSPTEG00000034812.1)
Source: RNAcentral
UACAAAUGCAUAAAAAUCCAUAAGUGUUUUUAUUUGUUAACAAGUUAAUGAUUUUCAUUUGUUUAUUUUGAUGUGUUCAUGUUUUAUGCAUUUUUACAUAUACAUGUAUAUAUGACCAUUUAUGCUAUUUUGUUCAAAAAUAUGAGUUAGAACAUGUGUACUACAUAUUUUUUGUCAAAAAAAAAAAAAAGCAAAAAAUGAAACAUGUGAUAAUAUCCUUGAUAUUAUACAUGUAUUCCAAUCGGAUACACAUUAUUGAGGUUGUUUGCUUAUUUUAUUACAUAAUAGGAAUUUUUUUUUUACUAUUAUCUUUUUAUUCUAAAACUUUAAGUGGGUGGUCUUUACAUGGAAAAAAUUUGUUUAUUAGAUUAGAAAAAGAUGAAAGUGAAAAAAGUUAUAAGUUGUAUACAUUAAAAAAAAAGAUUGAUAAUACAUUAAUUCCAAAGGCUUACUUUUUUCACUUUUAUAUCGUUGGGUUGAUUGUUAACUUUUUUGUGUUAUUACAAGAUUUCAACGAAAACUACAAUAUUGAACAAAAUGUAUACCAAAUACUAUCAUCAACAAGUUGUUUGUUGCAAAUACAUUUGUUUAGAAGAUUGUUGGAGCAACUAUUUGUUAUAAGAACAACCAAAAAAUCAUUUAUGAAUAUCUGUUCGUAUUUAUUAGGGAUAAGCUUUUAUGUUAUAACACCUAUUUCUUUGCAUAGCGAUAAUGUAAAAAGGAUUAAUUCUGUUAAUUUAUUUGCUCUCAUAAUAUUUAUAACUGGAAAUAUACUUCAGUAUGAUUCGCAUGUUAGGUUGUCUAAACUUCGUUCUAAAGAUUUAAAAGAAGGUGAUGAUUUGUAUAAAGUCCCAUAUGGCGGGUUUUUUAAUUUUGUUAGUUGUCCUCAUUAUUUGGCAGAAAUAUUAAUUUAUUUUUCAUUUUUUAUAUGGAACUGGAAUAUUAUAAGUUCCCUAAAUUUUGUUUUCGUUUUAUUGGGUCUUAUCAAAAAUGGUAUACAAACGCAUACUUGGUAUCUCAAAGUGUUAGGAGAUGCAUACCCCAGGUAUCAAUAUACAAUAAAACAAAAAAAAAAAAAAAAAACAUAUAAACAUACACAUACAUCCACAUAGGUAUACAUACAUGUGUAUAAAUGUAUUAAGCCUCAGUUUUUUUACAAAUUUAAUCAUAACAAUAUGCUUACUCUUUUUUUCGUUUCGUUCAGAACUAGGAAAAUAAUAUUCCCCUACAUUUUAUAAGAAACUUUUUUAUUAAAAAAAAACAAAAAAAAAUUACAAUAACUAUUUUUGCACAAAUAGGAGUAAUUUAUAUUUUUGCCUUGUUUAUUGAUAUAUUUAAAAUGUUUUGAAAAACCGUAUUUUAUGUAUACAUUCCCAAGUAUUACACGUGAAAAAAAAUAAAAAUAAAUAAAUAAGUAAAAAAUAAAUAAGU